This 491-nucleotide ribosomal RNA is filed under the name uncultured bacterium. Its description in RNAcentral is "partial 16S ribosomal RNA". It matches the Rfam family "Bacterial small subunit ribosomal RNA", at positions 29 to 506 of the family's 1533-position model. The record is from RNAcentral.
AGUGAACGCUGGCGGUAGGCCUAACACAUGCAAGUCGAACGGCAGCACAGUAAGAGCUUGCUCUUACGGGUGGCGAGUGGCGGACGGGUGAGGAAUACAUCGGAAUCUACUUUUUCGUGGGGGAUAACGUAGGGAAACUUACGCUAAUACCGCAUACGACCUACGGGUGAAAGCAGGGGAUCUUCGGACCUUGCGCGAUUGAAUGAGCCGAUGUCGGAUUAGCUAGUUGGCGGGGUAAAGGCCCACCAAGGCGACGAUCCGUAGCUGGUCUGAGAGGAUGAUCAGCCACACUGGAGCUGAGACACGGUCCAGACUCCUACGGGAGGCAGCAGUGGGGAAUAUUGGAGAAUGGGCGCAAGCCUGAUCCAGCCAUUCCGCGUGGGUGAAGAAGGCCUUCGGGUUGUAAAGCCCUUUUGUUGGGAAAGAAAAGCAGCAGGUUAAUACCCCGCUGUUCUGACGGUACCCAAAGAAUAAGCACCGGCUAACUUCGG